RNAcentral lists this ribosomal RNA (265 nucleotides) under uncultured bacterium. RNAcentral describes it as "partial 16S ribosomal RNA". It matches the Rfam family "Bacterial small subunit ribosomal RNA", at positions 793 to 1055 of the family's 1533-position model. The record is from RNAcentral.
GUCCACGCCGUAAACUAUGAGUGCUAGAUGUUGGGAGGUUUACUUCUCAGUGUCGCAGCUAACGCAUUAAGCACUCCGCCUGGGGAGUACGGCCGCAAGGUUAAACUCAAAGGAAUUGACGGGGGCCCGCACAAGCGGUGGAGCAUGUGGUUUAAUUCGAAGCAACGCGCAGAACCUUACCAUCCCUUGACAUCCCUAUCGCGGUUUCCAGAGAUGGAUUCCUUCAGCUCGGCUGGAUAGGUGACAGGUGCUGCAUGGCUGUCGU